RNAcentral lists this long non-coding RNA (236 nucleotides) under Mus spicilegus (steppe mouse). Its description in RNAcentral is "lncRNA (ENSMSIG00000028766.1)". The record is from RNAcentral. Lineage: Eukaryota; Metazoa; Chordata; Mammalia; Rodentia; Muridae.
AUUUGAGGCCACCCAGAGCUACACAAAACUCGAACAUAGAAAAAUACCAUGUGAGGAGAGAGGGCGGAAAAGCACAGAACAUGCAGAGGUGGCAGCAGCCAAUACCCUCACUACAUGCCAGUUCAGAAAACAGACAAGAGAAAGGUAGCCUGGAUUCAUGCGGUGCUGAAGGCUGAGCAGGCCGCAGUGUUCAAGUUCCCACUGGCGCCGCUCGGCUGCUCCGGGCUGGGCUCGGC